This 537-nucleotide ribosomal RNA is filed under the name uncultured bacterium. Its description in RNAcentral is "bacterial SSU rRNA". It matches the Rfam family "Bacterial small subunit ribosomal RNA", at positions 775 to 1314 of the family's 1533-position model. The record is from RNAcentral.
AGUCAAUAGAUACCCGGGUAGUCCAUGCCGUAAACGAUGAUUGCUAGGUGUGGGGGUCUGACCCUUCCGUGCCGGAGUUAAACACAAAUAAGCAAUCCACCUGGGGAGUACGGCCGCAAGGUUGAAACUCAAAGGAAUUGACGGGGGCCCGCACAAGCAGUGGAGUAUGUGGUUUAAUUCGAAGCAACGCGAAGAACCUUACCAGGUCUUGACAUCCACCGAAUCCUGUAGAGAUACGGGAGUGCCCUUCGGGGAACGGUGAGACAGGUGGUGCAUGGUUGUCGUCAGCUCGUGUCGUGAGAUGUUGGGUUAAGUCCCGCAACGAGCGCAACCCUUGUGAAUAGUUGCUACGAAAGAGCACUCUAUUCAGACCGCCGUUGACAAAACGGAGGAAGGUGGGGAUGACGUCAAAUCAUCAUGCCCCUUAUGACCUGGGCUACACACGUACUACAAUGGCCGUUAACAGAGGGAUGCAAUGCCGCGAGGUGGAGCGAACCCCUAAAAACGGUCUCAGUUCAGAUUGCAGGCUGAAACUCG